This 696-nucleotide long non-coding RNA is filed under the name Polistes fuscatus (common paper wasp). Its description in RNAcentral is "uncharacterized LOC122518076". Lineage: Eukaryota; Metazoa; Arthropoda; Insecta; Hymenoptera; Vespidae. The record is from RNAcentral.
GCCGUGCGGAAGUACAGAAGGGAUACCAGUGAAGUGAGCUGCUGCCUAAAAUACGUCAUCUUUGGAUUUAACGUCAUGUUUUGGGAUAAAUAUUUCAUAACGAGUUUCUUCGUAAAAUAUCGAUUUAUCGAUUGAAUUAUCGAAUCUCGAUCCUUGCAUCUUACGUACUUUCUGAUUGGUCAAUAUUUUAUACGAGAUUUUAUCGAAAGAAAAUUGAAUUUUUCUUUACGAAGUAAAGUAUGUAAUAAUAGCAGUAUAGUUUAUCUAUAUAUAUAUAUAUAUAGUUAUUUUGUAACGGUUAAUAAAGCAAAUGCGAGUAACUUGUUUCGUCCUGUUUCUUGUUGAACCUUGUCGUUUAAAAUCGCGUUACCAUGAAGAAAGAGAGAGGAAGAGAAAGAAUUGUCAGUCUUAUUCAAUCCCCACCAACACAUCAUUGCGUUCACCAGCUUACAAUGUAAUAUAGUAAGUAAGUACUAUGCAAGAAGUUUCUAUUCCUUUGUUCGCCCUUCUCUUUACUGUAUCCUAACUCUUCUAACCUUCCAACGUAAUCCUUCUUUCCUUCUUCCUUCCCUUUUCCCCAACCUUUGUAAUAUCCCCGAAAAUCAUUGAAUUUCCAUUCUCGAAUUUCCCCUGUUCAUCAAGCAUAUUUAAUUUACCGCCACACAAUUCGAUAUUCUCGAAUUAUAUCUUCCGAAA